CAAGUUAUUUUGAGAAGUUUUUGAGGUUUGUUUUGUUUGUGACUUUGGUUUUGAUUGUUUGGAAUACUUUUAUCCAUUCGUUAUAACGUGAUUGAUGAACAUUGAUAACGCCGAUCAAGCAUCCUGUACUGAUAAUAAUAACGCAAGUACCCCAUCUAAAAAUCGAAAAGUUUUGACGAAGAAAAAAAAGGACACAGAAGUACACACAACUUUGGGAAAAUGAGUUUUCAUGGCUAAGAAAAGACUCAGAAAGUGAUACAAAUGCAAAAUCCAUAAUCUGUGGCGAAGUUUUCUCUCUAUUCCAUCAGCUGGAGUUGUACACGAUAGGAAUAUUUACAUAUUGUAUGAUGAAUAUGAUGAUGAUAAA
Non-coding RNA from Plutella xylostella (diamondback moth), 367 nucleotides. The record is from RefSeq and is a predicted model, not a curated record. NCBI's taxonomy places the organism in Eukaryota, Metazoa, Arthropoda, Insecta, Lepidoptera, Plutellidae.